Molecule: ribosomal RNA, 253 nt
Filed under: uncultured bacterium
Lineage: Bacteria
Description: partial 16S ribosomal RNA
Rfam family: Bacterial small subunit ribosomal RNA
Source: RNAcentral
UACGUAGGUGGCAAGCGUUGUCCGGAAUUAUUGGGCGUAAAGCGCGCGCAGGCGGUCCUUUAAGUCUGAUGUGAAAGCCCACGGCUCAACCGUGGAAGGUCAUUGGAAACUGGAGGACUUGAGUACAGAAGAGGAAAGCGGAAUUCCACGUGUAGCGGUGAAAUGCGUAGAGAUGUGGAGGAACACCAGUGGCGAAGGCGGCUUUCUGGUCUGUAACUGACGCUGAGACGCGAAAGCGUGGGGAGCAAACAGG